RNAcentral lists this ribosomal RNA (1039 nucleotides) under uncultured organism. Its description in RNAcentral is "bacterial SSU rRNA". It matches the Rfam family "Bacterial small subunit ribosomal RNA", at positions 35 to 1062 of the family's 1533-position model. The record is from RNAcentral.
GCUGGCGGCGUGCUUACACAUGCAAGUCAAUGGGAAAGUCUCAGCUUGCUGAGAUGAGUAUACUGGCGGAUGGGUGAGUAACACGUAUGUAAUCUGCCCUUAGGACAGGGAUAACAUUGCUAACGCGAUGCUAAUACCUGAUGAAGCAACUGUUGAAUCAGAUGGUUGUUAAAGGCUGGCUUUCAGCUAGCGCCUGAGGAUGAGCCUGCGUCUCAUUAGCUAGUUGGUAGGGUAAUGGCCUACCAAUGCGACGAUGGGUAGCCGGCCUGAGAGGGUGAGCGGCCACACUGGGACUGAGAUACGGCCCAGACUCCUACGGGAGGCAGCAGUGAGGAAUAUUGCGCAAUGGCCGAAAGGUUGACGCAGCGACGCCGCGUGAGGGAUGAAGCUUUUAGGAGUGUAAACCUCUGUUAGGAGGGAAGAAUAAUGGCAAUUCGAACAGGGUUGUCAGAUGACGGUACCUCCAGAGGAAGCCCCGGCUAACUCCGUGCCAGCAGCCGCGGUAAUACGGGGGGGGCUAGCGUUGUCCGGAAUUACUGGGCGUAAAGGGCGCGUAUGCGGGAUAGCAAGUCAGUGGUGCAAACUUGAGGCUUAACUUCAAGCUUGCCAUUGAUACUGUUAUUCUUGAGUUCGGCAGAGGGAAGUGGAAUUCCUGGUGUAGCGGUGAAAUGCGUAGAUAUCAGGAAGAACACCGGUGGCGAAGGCGGCUUCCUGGUCCGAUACUGACGCUGAGGCGCGAAAGCGUGGGGAGCGAACAGGAUUAGAUACCCUGGUAGUCCACGCUGUAAACGAUGGGUACUAGGUGUUGGUUGUAAUGAUCAGCGCCGGAGCAAACGCAUUAAGUACCCCGCCUGGGGAAUACGGUCGCAAGACUGAAACUCAAAGGAAUUGACGGGGGCCCGCACAAGCGGUGGAGCAUGUGGUUUAAUUCGAUGCAACGCGAAGAACCUUACCUGGGCUUGAACUGCAGGUGCUAUCUCCUGAAAGGGAGUUUCCUUCGGGACGCCUGUAGAGGUGCUGCAUGGCUGUCGUCAGCUCG